GCACAUACUUAUCAUUAGUAAACUUGAUAUUGUGUUUUGUUGAUCUAGUGAUUGCCUUUUUGCGGAACUUGUGAUUGUUGAAUACUGAGCUUGUUAUUGAGGAUAUAUAAUUUGUUGAAGUGUUGUUGUUGAGGAUAUGUAAUUUGUUAAAGUGUGUUAUUGAGGAUAUGUAAAUUUGUGGAAGUCUUGUUAUUGAGGAUAUGUAAUUUGUUGAAGUGUUGUUGUUGAGGAUAUGUAAUUUGUUAAAGUGUGUUAUUGAGGAUAUGUAAAUUUGUGGAAGUGUUGGUAUUGAGGAUAUCUAAUUUGUUUAAGUGUUGAUGUUGAGGAUAUAUAAUUUGUUAAAGUGUCGUUGUGGAGGAUAUGUAAUUUGUUAAAGUGUUGUUGUGGAGGAUAUGUAAUUUGUCUAAAUGUUUUUGUUGAGUUACGUUCUAUGUAAACUGUGAGUUGUUUGGUUGGGCUGAUGUUUAUGCAGGUUGUAGUUGCGAAGGUUCGGUUGGGGGUGGUAGGAGUACCCGUAUUUCAUCCCCUUAGCUUGUGUUUAGAGGUUUACUUGCUGAGUACCGUGUGAUUUGGUACUCACCCCUUGCUUCUACAAAUUUUUGUAGGUUACUAGCCCGUACUUUUAUGAUAUAUUCUCUUCUUUUCCGAGGCUUCCUAGAGAUUUUGUGAGGUAGUUGUUGGUCAUCUCAGCAUCCCUACUU
This 701-nucleotide long non-coding RNA is filed under the name Solanum lycopersicum (tomato). RNAcentral describes it as "partial TCONS_00015944". Lineage: Eukaryota; Viridiplantae; Streptophyta; Magnoliopsida; Solanales; Solanaceae. The record is from RNAcentral.